AUCUCUUAAUAAACCUACAAUCGUAAAAAUAAAACAAAUGCACAUUUACCGAAUUCAUGCCAACCUUAGAGAUAAUUAACGAUGAAGAAAAAGGACCAAAAACUAAUGUUAAAAAAAAUUAGAAUCGCCAGUAACCAGGGGAUUUUCGGCUAGAAGGAAAGAAAGAAAGAAAAAAAAGAACGUGGAGAAAGGGAAAAUUGUAGAAAAAAUUCAGCAGAGAGCGAAUGGAAUGCUUUGGGUAACUCCCAAAUCCCUUAUUUUGCUCCCGCUAAACCUCAAUUGUUGCAAAUACUCAGUAUCCCAAGCCAACUCAAACACUUCCACGGCAUUAGCAGCAAAAAUACUGCCUCCGUUUAGUCUCG
Molecule: long non-coding RNA, 362 nt
Filed under: Gossypium barbadense (sea-island cotton)
Lineage: Eukaryota; Viridiplantae; Streptophyta; Magnoliopsida; Malvales; Malvaceae
Description: long non-coding RNA (GBAR_LNC005390)
Source: RNAcentral